AUUGAACGCUGGCGGCAGGCCUAACACAUGCAAGUCGAACGGUAGCACAGAGAGCUUGCUCUCGGGUGACGAGUGGCGGACGGGUGAGUAACGUCUGGGAAACUGCCCGAUGGAGGGGGAUAACUACUGGAAACGGUAGCUAAUACCGCAUAACGUCGCAAGACCAAAGUGGGGGACCUUCGGGCCUCACACCAUCGGAUGUGCCCAGAUGGGAUUAGCUAGUAGGUGGGGUAAUGGCUCACCUAGGCGACGAUCCCUAGCUGGUCUGAGAGGAUGACCAGCCACGCUGGAACUGAGGAACGGUCCAGACUCCUACGGGAGGCAGCAGUGGGGAAUAUUGCACAAUGGGCGCAAGCCUGAUGCAGCCAUGCCGCGUGUAUGAAGAAGGCCUUCGGGUUGUAAAGUACUUUCAGCGGGGAGGAAGGCGGUGAAGUUAAUAGCUUCACCGAUUGACGUUACCCGCAGAAGAAGCACCGGCUAACUCCGUGCCAGCAGCCGCGGUAA
This 504-nucleotide ribosomal RNA is filed under the name uncultured bacterium. RNAcentral's name for it is "partial 16S ribosomal RNA". It matches the Rfam family "Bacterial small subunit ribosomal RNA", at positions 29 to 523 of the family's 1533-position model. The record is from RNAcentral.